Molecule: ribosomal RNA, 253 nt
Filed under: uncultured bacterium
Lineage: Bacteria
Description: partial 16S ribosomal RNA
Rfam family: Bacterial small subunit ribosomal RNA
Source: RNAcentral
UACGUAGGGUGCAAGCGUUGUCCGGAAUUAUUGGGCGUAAAGAGCUCGUAGGCGGUUUGUCGCGUCGAAUGUGAAAACCCGGGGCUCAACCCCGGGCCUGCAUUCGAUACGGGCAGACUAGAGUUCGGUAGGGGAGUCUGGAAUUCCUGGUGUAGCGGUGAAAUGCGCAGAUAUCUGGAGGAACACCGGUGGCGAAGGCGGCAUCCUGGACCAACACUGACGCUGAGGAGCGAAAGCCAGGGGAGCAAACGGG